AGCGAACGCUGGCGGCGUGCUUAACACAUGCAAGUCGAACGUGAAAUGUAGCAAUACAGAGUAAAGUGGCGUACGGGUGAGUAACACGUGGGUAAUCUACCAAAGAGCCUGGAAUAACCGACCGAAAGGUUGGCUAAUACUGGAUAGUUCAAAUGAAAUAUAAUGUUUCGAUUGGGAAAGGGAGCGAGCAAUCGCCUUCACUUUUUGAUGAGCCCGCGUCUGAUUAGCUAGUUGGUAGGGUAAUGGCCUACCAAGGCGACGAUCAGUAGCUGGUCUGAGAGGAUGAUCAGCCACACUGGAACUGAAACACGGUCCAGACUCCUACGGGAGGCGGCAGUGGGGAAUCUUGCGCAAUGGACGAAAGUCUGACGCAGCCACGCCGCGUGAGUGAAGAAGGCCUUCGGGUUGUAAAGCUCUGUCGGAAGGGACAAAAACGGUUAAGGUUAAUAGCCUUGGAUCUUGAUGGUACCUUCAAAGGAAGCACCGGCUAACUUCGUGCCAGCAGCCGCGGUAA
RNAcentral lists this ribosomal RNA (514 nucleotides) under uncultured bacterium. RNAcentral's name for it is "partial 16S ribosomal RNA". It matches the Rfam family "Bacterial small subunit ribosomal RNA", at positions 29 to 523 of the family's 1533-position model. The record is from RNAcentral.